Molecule: long non-coding RNA, 1036 nt
Organism: Pyrus x bretschneideri (Chinese white pear)
Lineage: Eukaryota; Viridiplantae; Streptophyta; Magnoliopsida; Rosales; Rosaceae
Exons: 2
Source: RefSeq, a predicted model, not a curated record
GCUAAUAGUAUAACAUUUGUGCGUACUUCCUAAUCAAUUUCUUUUUUGUCAUUUUAUCAAGUUAACCAUUAGUUUUUAAGAAAAACUAAUAAUAAGGGCUUCAAAACUUUACAUUUUAACCGAAAACCACGAAUUUCCGAGCAAGAUUGGCCCAAGCAACGAAUUUCCGAUUUUACCCUAACGGCAAACAUUGCGCCGUUUGUUUUGCCCGUUUCAUUCUAGAUGAAGAGAGAGUAAUUUUUGUACAACUUCUACAAGAUUCUACGGAUCUGAUACUCAUUUUCUCUCUGCUAGUUUCUCAUCUCUGUUAAUCAAGGAGAUUUCGUAUGUCUUGAUUCUGUGAUUCUCCGAUUCAUCAGGUAAUUUUCUUUUCAAACUAAAUCAAAAUCCACCUCUUCCUUCGUCAUGGGACGCAAAGCCCAAGCUUCGACCUCCUCCAAUGGAAAUCUGCGCGUAUGCACAGCAUAGUACGCAUUUAUGGUUGGGCUAAAUCUUGGCUCUUUUAUCUUUUAAGGUGGGGAAUUGUUGCACAUAUGUACGUUGGUGAGAAUUCUGAUGGUGAAUUAGGAAGCACAGAUAUGUUCCAAGGACUACAGCUCCGUUCAGAAAUUCACCGUCUCCCCCUACAGCGAUGUCUUCGUGAUCAUACUUUCUAUGAUAUUGGGGAUGUCUCAGCACCAGAAAGGCAGUGUACAGACAAUUUAUCUCAGAUGUUACCAGACCUUGAAAAUGCUCUCGUGGAGAAGAAGAUGCCCAAAGAGAAUUGGCUCUAAUUUAAUAGAUUAUACAAGGUUGGUAUCGGUUUAGAUUGAUAUAAUUUGUCAUUGGGGUAUCAAAUCCCAGAUGAUUUGAUAUGAAUGUUGAUUACAAUAGUCUGAAUGUUUCUAUAACUACCACAUAACUGCUAAGCUUGUUAUCUAGUUUGAGAAUCGAGAUUAGUGAAGGCAUAUUCUAAUGGUAUUUGAAAGGUAAGGCCUCCAAAUACAUGCAUUUGCCUUUGCUAUAAGUGCAAUCUACUAUCCCUUCCAUGGAAAAA